UGGGGAAUAUUGCACAAUGGGCGCAAGCCUGAUGCAGCCAUGCCGCAUGUAUGAAGAAGGCCUUCGGGUUGUAAAGUACUUUCAGCGGGGAGGAAGGGAGUAAAGUUAAUACCUUUGCUCAUUGACGUUACCCGCAGAAGAAGCACCGGCUAACUCCGUGCCAGCAGCCGCGGUAAUACGGAGGGUGCAAGCGUUAAUCGGAAUUACUGGGCGUAAAGCGCACGCAGGCGGUUUGUUAAGUCAGAUGUGAAAUCCCCGGGCUCAACCUGGGAACUGCAUCCGAUACUGGCAAGCUUGAGUCUCGUAGAGGGGGGUAGAAUUCCAGGUGUAGCGGUGAAAUGCGUAGAGAUCUGGAGGAAUACCGGUGGCGAAGGCGGCCCCCUGGACGAAGACUGACGCUCAGGUGCGAAAGCGUGGGGAGCAAACA
Molecule: ribosomal RNA, 427 nt
Filed under: uncultured bacterium
Lineage: Bacteria
Description: partial 16S ribosomal RNA
Rfam family: Bacterial small subunit ribosomal RNA
Source: RNAcentral